AGCUCCAAUAGCGUAUAUUAAAGUUGUUGCAGUUAAAAAGCUCGUAGUUGGAUUUCUGUCACUUGCAACUGGUUCGUCUUAAUUGAUGCUAUUCAGAAUGCUGUGGCAUUUUUCUGUCAUGUAGGCUGUGCUUAAUUGUUCAGUUUGCGCUGGCAGAUCUUUUACUUUGAGUAAAUUAGAGUGUUUCAAGCAAGUUAUCGCUUUGAAUACUGCAGCAUGGAAUAAUAAUAUAGGACUUUGGUUCUAUUUUGUUGGUUUCUAGAGCCUGAGUAAUGAUUAAUAGGGAUAGUUGGGGGCAUUCGUAUUUAACAGUCAGAGGUGAAAUUCUUAGAUUUGUUAAAGACGAGCUACUGCGAAAGCAUUUGCCAAGGAUGUUUUCAUUAAUCAAGAACGAAAGUAG
This 400-nucleotide ribosomal RNA is filed under the name phytoplankton environmental sample. RNAcentral's name for it is "partial small subunit ribosomal RNA". It matches the Rfam family "Eukaryotic small subunit ribosomal RNA", at positions 587 to 992 of the family's 1831-position model. The record is from RNAcentral.